GAUGAACGCUGGCGGCGUGCCUAAUACAUGCAAGUCGAGCGAACGGACGAGAAGCUUGCUUCUCUAAUGUUAGCGGCGGACGGGUGAGUAACACGUGGAUAACCUACCUAUAAGACUGGGAUAACUUCGGGAAACCGUAGCUAAUACCGGAUAAUAUUUUGAACCGCAUGGUUCAAAAGUGAAAGACGGUCUUGCUGUCACCUAUAGAUGGAUCCGCGCUGCAUUAGCUAGUUGGUAAGGUAACGGCUUACCAAGGCAACGAUGCAUAGCCGACCUGAGAGGGUGAUCGGCCACACUGGAACUGAGACACGGUCCAGACUCCUACGGGAGGCAGCAGUAGGGAAUCUUCCGCAAUGGGCGAAAGCCUGACGGAGCAACGCCGCGUGAGUGAUGAAGGUCUUCGGAUCGUAAAACUCUGUUAUUAGGGAAGAACAUAUGUGUAAGUAACUGUGCACAUCUUGACGGUACCUAAUCAGAAAGCCACGGCUAACUACGUG
RNAcentral lists this ribosomal RNA (497 nucleotides) under uncultured bacterium. RNAcentral's name for it is "partial 16S ribosomal RNA". It matches the Rfam family "Bacterial small subunit ribosomal RNA", at positions 28 to 507 of the family's 1533-position model. The record is from RNAcentral.